CUCUACUAGGUUUUAGGUCAUGGUGUAUGGUUAGUUUUCUAUUUGGCUUUGGGAAGAGGAUGUGGACAAGAGAGCAUAAAAGCAAUGUCUAUCCACCCAAUCCCCUAAAUCGAGGUUACGAAGCGUUUGACAACACCAAUUACAAUGGUUUUUUGGAUGCAAUAUCAUGAAGAUAGAAUACUUAAAUGGAUAAAAUAACUUGGCAUUUAAGUGAUUUUCUUUUAUGGAGUAUCACAUUCAUACUUCUUAAUAUUUUUGUUAAAUUAAAAAUUUGAGUUGAUGAAUGACAAUCUUUUUAUCCACUAAAGUUUUCUUGAAUUAUUAAUCUUAAAAGAUAAAGCUGCUACUAAGCUAUUUUUCAGUGCAUAUGUUUCUAAAUGUGUUGCAGUCUUGCUCGGCAAUGUGCUCAACUUUGGUUGAAGACACGGGAAGCUCUUGGGCACCCAUUAGGAUUUUCCAAGGAAAAUGAUCUCUUGUUUCAAAAUCUUCCAAAUUCCCAAUUGCAGAAGGUAUUGGAACGUCCUGGAGCAUUUGUUCUUGAGAUUGGCACUGAAGAGAUGCCUCCUCAUGAUGUAGUUGAAGCAAGUAACCAGCUUAGAAGUCUCACUGUGGAGUACCUGAAAAAAAGAAGACUGAGUUGUGGAGAAGUUUCAUCAUAUGGUACACCACGCCGACUUGUGGUCUUUACUGAGAGUCUAAGUCAUAUGCAAGCAGAGAAUGAGAUUGAGGUUCGAGGCCCUCCAGCAGCAAGGGCAUUUGAUUCCGAAGGAACUCCUACUCAGGCCGCUAAGGGAUUCUGCCGCAAGAAUGGCAUAACCCUGGAUGAUCUAUACAAGAAAUUUGAAGGAAAGACUGAGUAUGUAUAUGCUAGGAUCAAGGAAUCAAAACAAUCCACUUUUGAGGUUCUUGUAGAUGGUCUACCAAGUAUUUUGGCUUUGAUUUCUUUUCCAAAAUCGAUGAGAUGGAAUUCCCAGGUCUUGUUUAGUAGGCCAAUUCGCUGGAUUUUAGCACUACAUGGUGAAACAGUUUUGCCUUUUUCUUUUGGAGGAGUUUCAAGUGGGAGGCAAACAUGUGGGCUUCGGAGUUCGCACUCAGCCAUACUUGAGAUAGAAACUGCAGAGGCAUACCUGCAUAAGAUGAGGGAAGCUGGCAUCUUGGUUAAUAUGAAGGAACGGAAAGAAAAAAUUAUAUGUGAUGCUGACUCAUUAGCUUCAAGUGUUAACAGCAAUGCAAUAAUGCAAGACAGUUUAGUUGAGGAGGUUGUAAACCUUGUGGAGGCUCCUCUUGCUAUACUUGGUAGAUUUGAUGAAUAUUUCUUGGAGAUUCCAAAGGACAUAUUGAUUAUGGUCAUGCAAAAGCACCAGAAGUAUUUCCCCUUGAUCUGCCAACAUACAGGAACUUUAAUGCCAUACUUCAUUGCUGUUGCAAAUGGACUAAUUGAUGAACAAGUAGUUCGGAAAGGAAAUGAAGCUGUACUAAGAGCCCGCUAUGAGGAUGCAAGUUUUUUCUAUAAAAUGGACACCCAAAAGAAAUUUUCUGAAUUUCGAGGCCUUCUAAGUGGAAUUCUUUUUCAUGAACAACUUGGAACAAUGUUGGACAAGGUGGUUCGCAUUCAAAAGAUUGUUGGAAAGUUGUCACAUUCUCUGGGAAACGAGAAAAGUGUGCAUACGAUUGUUGAAGAUGCAGCAGCUCUUGCCAUGUCUGAUCUUGCAACUUCUAUUGUCACUGAAUUCACCUCUCUAUCAGGAAUAAUGGCCCGCCAUUAUGCUCUAAGGGAUGGGUAUCCCGAGCAGAUUGCUGAGGCUCUUUUUGAAAUUACACUUCCAAGAUUUUCUGGGGAUAUACUUCCAAAAUCUGAUGCUGGAAUUGUUCUGGCCAUUGCUGAUAGACUGGACAGUCUUGUUGGCUUAUUUGGUUCUGGAUGUCAGCCAAGUUCAACAAAUGACCCCUUUGGUUUGAGAAGAGUGUCUUAUGGACUGGUGCAGAUACUAGUGGAGAAUAACAAGGAUUUGUCCUUGAAAGAGGCUUUGACAUUAGUGGCUGAUGUCCAACCCAUAGAAAUUAGUGCUAGUGUUAUUGAUGAUGUAACAAAAUUUGUUACUAGAAGGUUGGAACAACUAUUGGUAGAUAAGGGCAUAAGUCCUGAAAUUGUGCGUGCUGUGCUCUCAGAGCGUGCUAACUGGCCUUGUCUAGCUGCCAGGUCAGCUAUUGAAAUGGAGACAUUAUCGAGAAGUGAGAUGUUUUCUAAAGUGAUUCAAGCAUACUCGCGACCCACGAGAAUUAUUCGUGGAAAGAAAAUUGGUUCUAAUAUUGAGGAAGCCCUGUCAUUGUGUCCUGUCGUCGCAUAUUCGGAGAGAUCUGCACCGUCUACUAUGUCUGAACAAGCCUUGUGUGAGGGAAUCACCAAUCAGCACCACCUUGUACACAUAGUCGAUCUUGUCACUUCCACCAUUAGCUAUUUCCUCCAACAUCACUCUCGCCAUUCUACUGUUGUUUUCUGAUUCUGUCACAUCGUCAUUCCCAACAGACUUCUGUGCCUCCAGAUCUUCCCUGUGAUUUCUUUCAUUUGCAGCCUGCAAUCUUAGAUCUCUGGUGCUUCUGCUAUUGUUCUUGCAGUUUCAGAAUUCUUCCAGUGUCUUUUGAGCCCCACUACCACUUUCCUGUCAUUACUCAGCAGAUUUCUGCUCAUCUUGUUAGUUUAUUCAGUAUGUAAAUUUGCAACAGUAGAGAACCCUAAUUGAUUGAAAAUGCCAAGAGCAGAUGAAUAUUGUUGCUUUCUCCAUCAUCUUUCAUGAUCAACUAAUGAUCAUCCUGGUUCAACCUUAAACAAUUGGUCCACCCCUAGAAACAUCCAAGAUGCAUCUAGUUAUCCCUAUUAACCCUUAAUUAGACCUUCAAAUAUAACAAUAGCUAUUCCCAUGCGUCAACAAAUUCAGGUAGAUAGUCAAAGACUCGUAGUUCCCUUUUCCUUUGGUUAUAAGAAACAACAUACUGAAACCAUUCUUUUGUUCGGUCUUUGUUGAGUAAUCUGGUUAUUGAAGGAUAGAGGUGGAAGAUUUGAUACAUGGCUUGCCAAUGGGGAUGGCGUAGAAGAAUCAGCCAUUGCUUUCCAAUAUUCUUGCUAGGUUGUUCCCAGCUAUGAUACCAUGAAACAAGAAUUGAUCUUGAACACACAAAAGGAUCGCAGUGAAGUAACUGAAGCUGCAUUUGAAAAGAGCGAAGAAGAAGCUUUAUGGAAUGCUUACAUGAAAGUAGCAUCUAAAAUUCACCAUG
RNA transcript from Zingiber officinale, 3273 nucleotides. It is a transcript of the gene named glycine--tRNA ligase, chloroplastic/mitochondrial 2-like, with no coding region annotated. The record is from RefSeq and is a predicted model, not a curated record. The transcript has 24 exons. Lineage: Eukaryota; Viridiplantae; Streptophyta; Magnoliopsida; Zingiberales; Zingiberaceae.